GAUUAACGCUGGCGGCGUGCAUAACACAUGCAAGUCGAACGAUGAAACUUAACUGAUUUCUUCGGAAUGAAAUUAAGUGGAUUAGUGGCGGACGGGUGAGUAACGCGUGAGUAACCUGCCUUAGAGAAGGGGAUAGCCUUUGGAAACGAAGAAUAAUACCCUAUGAUAUGAUAGCAUCGCAUGAUAUUAUCAUCAAAGAUUUAUCGCUCUAAGAUGGACUUGCGUCUGAUUAGUUAGUGGUGAGGUAACGGCCCACCAAGACAGCGAUCAGUAGCCGGCUUGAGAGAGUGUACGGCCACAUUGGGACUGAGACACGGCCCAGACUCCUACGGGAGCAGCAGGUGGGAAUUUGCACAAUGGGGAAACCCUGAUGCAGCGACGCCGCGUGAUUUAGAAGG
RNAcentral lists this ribosomal RNA (398 nucleotides) under uncultured bacterium. Its description in RNAcentral is "bacterial SSU rRNA". It matches the Rfam family "Bacterial small subunit ribosomal RNA", at positions 28 to 413 of the family's 1533-position model. The record is from RNAcentral.